Molecule: ribosomal RNA, 532 nt
Filed under: Salmonella enterica subsp. enterica serovar Typhimurium
Lineage: Bacteria; Pseudomonadati; Pseudomonadota; Gammaproteobacteria; Enterobacterales; Enterobacteriaceae
Description: partial 23S ribosomal RNA
Rfam family: Bacterial large subunit ribosomal RNA
Source: RNAcentral
UGACUGUAUUGAAAUUCUAACCUACGGGUCUUAUCGACCCGGGAGACAGUGUCAGGUGGGCAGUUUGACUGGGGCGGUCGCCUCCUAAAGUGUAACGGAGGCGCCCAAAGGUUCCCUCAGAAUGGUUGGAAAUCAUUCGUAGAGUGCAAAGGCAUAAGGGAGCUUGACUGCGAGACCUACAAGUCGAGCAGGGACGAAAGUCGGGCUUAGUGAUCCGGUGGUUCCGCAUGGAAGGGCCAUCGCUCAACGGAUAAAAGCUACCCCGGGGAUAACAGGCUUAUCUCCCCCAAGAGUCCACAUCGACGGGGAGGUUUGGCACCUCGAUGUCGGCUCAUCACAUCCUGGGGCUGUAGUCGGUCCCAAGGGUUGGGCUGUUCGCCCAUUAAAGCGGUACGCGAGCUGGGUUCAGAACGUCGUGAGACAGUUCGGUCCCUAUCCGUCGUGGGCGUAGGAAAUUUGAGAGGAGCUGUCCUUAGUACGAGAGGACCGGGAUGGACGCACCGCUGGUGUACCAGUUGUUCUGCCAAGGGCA